GAUGAACGCUGGCGGCGUGCCUAAUACAUGCAAGUCGAGCGAACGGACGAGAAGCUUGCUUCUCUGAUGUUAGCGGCGGACGGGUGAGUAACACGUGGAUAACCUACCUAUAAGACUGGGAUAACUUCGGGAAACCGGAGCUAAUACCGGAUGAUAUUUUGAACCGCAUGGUUCAAAAGUGAAAGACGGUCUUGCUGUCACUUAUAGAUGGAUCCGCGCUGCAUUAGCUAGUUGGUAAGGUAACGGCUUACCAAGGCAACGAUGCAUAGCCGACCUGAGAGGGGGAUCGGCCGCACUGGAGCUGAGACGCGGUCCAGACUCCUACGGGAGGCAGCAGUAGGGAAUCUUCCGCAAUGGGCGAAAGCCUGACGGAGCAACGCCGCGUGAGUGAUGAAGGUCUUCGGAUCGUAAAACUCUGUUAUUAGGGAAGAACAUAUGUGUAAGUAACUGUGCACAUCUUGACGGUACCUAAUCAGAAAGCCACGGCUAACUACGUG
This 497-nucleotide ribosomal RNA is filed under the name uncultured bacterium. Its description in RNAcentral is "partial 16S ribosomal RNA". It matches the Rfam family "Bacterial small subunit ribosomal RNA", at positions 28 to 507 of the family's 1533-position model. The record is from RNAcentral.